GAAGUGUCGGAAGGAAGUGUCGGAAGGAAGUGUCGGAAGGAAGUGUCGGAAGGAAGGAAGGAAGGAAGGAAGGAAGGAAGGAAGGAAGGAAGGAAGGAAGGAAGGAAGGAAGGAAGGAAGGAAGGAAGGAAGGAAGGAAGGAAGGAAGGAAGGAAGGAAGGAAGGAAGGAAGGAAGGAAGGAAGGAAGGAAGGAAGGAAGGAAGGAAGGAAGGAAGGAAGGAAGGAAGGAAGGAAGUGGCGGAAGGAAGUGGCGGAAGGAAGUGUCGGAAGGAAGUGUCGGAAGGAAGGAAGGAAGGAAGGAAGGAAGGAAGGAAGGAAGGAAGGAAGGAAGGAAGGAAGGAAGGAAGGAAGGAAGGAAGGAAGGAAGGAAGGAAGGAAGGAAGGAAGGAAGGAAGGAAGGAAGGAAGGAAGGAAGGAAGGAAGGAAGGAAGGAAUUUUUUUAUCUUUCAGUUCUUCCUCAUAGGCAUGAAUACAAAACCAAAAGUCUUCUAUUGAUUUACUCAUCAGUCUUAAAAGGGAGAAUCAUCUUUUCUAAUGGAUCAAGAAAUUCACCCAUCAGCAAGGCAUAAUCUUCAGUGGCCUUGGGUGAAGCAUAUUCUAAUGGAACUACUGCUCCAAGCAGAGGUAUUACAGCCCUUACCACUCCUCCUAGAAUUGGAGUACCUGCCUGCAAUCAUGUAGUAUUACCUAUUAAGAGGCAUCUGAGUGCUGCAAGAAUGGACUGAAAAUGAAGAUGAGACUUCAGCUGUCACACACAAUGGAACAUAUUGAAGCUGUUUGUGCUUGUUUAGUGCAAGCCAAGUGGAUUUUGCCAGGACCUCAGGGGCAGGAAAUUCCAGAUAAUAUUUGCAGCAAAGAACACGUAUAAGAAGGAAGGCAUGACAAGGGAUAGAAUAUAUUUAUUCAACUCUAGCCCAUUUUAAUUUCCAGGAUUUUGUCUACAUGCUUUACUGAUCCUGUGCUCAAAAAUUAGACUUCUGUCUUUAAGUCUUAUACUCCUGCUUUGGCUUUGAAGCUGUUACAAAGCUGGCAGCUUGAACGGGGCACAGCCAUACGGGCAUAUUUUAAAGUGUCAGAACUAAUACUAAGCCUUUCACAGUUGCAAAAGAAAUGUAAUUUGCUUUGAGGAGUGGACUUAUUAUUGAGAAACAUUGUUAUAAUCCAAAUUUUUCAUUAAAUGUCUCUCACUCCUCUUUCCUUCUUUUGCUCUCUCUCUUUCCCUCAGACUUCAACAUACAUGAGGUCAUAGAUGCUCAUACUCACAGGCACAAUUGUAUCUUGUUCUUUUUCUCUUGCAGUCCCUCUUAUACCAAAAAGAAUUGAGCCUUCUGAUACCGUAUGGAACUAACAACGUGAUUUAAAAUGACAUUAUAACACUAAAAAGAAGAACAUAGAAAUUCUGAAAUCUUCUGGAUAAUGAUUUUUGCCAGGUUUCCAAAAAAAAUCGGCCCAUUUAAUGCUUAAGCAUAAGCCAGGUUGUGCUGAAACACAAAAAUCUGAUUUAUUGGACUGUGUUGUCCUGAUCCAAUGAAUUUAAUACAUGAAGCUUUGAAUUUUGCAGGAAGCAAAAUAUUCAUUAAACAUCUUUAUAGGGUCAAAAAAUAAGACAAAAUACCAUUAGUUUUCAAUGCUCAUUGACAAUGAAGGAUGAGAGAGGGACAAAAAGAUAAAGAAAAAUUUUCCUGUAAUCAAAAUAAUGUGUUUUUUCAGAACUCUGUAUCUGUAAUGUGUCCUUUCACUUCGGUGUCUUAGGAUCUUAAGCAGGAUCCAAAGCAGGAUCCUAACUUGAGUUAAAAGAAAUGUGCCAAAUUUCUACCUCUAGUCUUACAGAACACAAAGUUCAGCAUUGCCCCAACACAGUUAUUGUAUAACAUGGAAUCAUAGAAUCAUAGAAUAAUUUGGAAGGGACUUUUGAAAAUCAUUUAGUUCAAUUCACCUGGAGUGAACAUAUAUACAACACACACAUAUAUAAACAUAUUUCCUCAUUGUCCCGCUGUUUGUUGAUACUAAACUACAUACUCUUUUUGAAAAUGACUUUGGGACCGAAGUUGGACUUUUGCCCAUUAUCAUGGAGAAGGGACACAGAAGUAUUCUUUGAUCUAACAUAUUUUUGACUGCCAAGAUAAGAAGUUUGCUUUUCCACUGAUUUGUGAAAUAACCCAUUGACUACUGAAUCUCUAAGAAGACAAAGUGAAGCAUUAGCCCUGAGCACAUUACUACUUUAUCAGCAUUGUUCUUGCUUUAAUUUCAGAAAAAGAUUGUUCAAGUCUAAGAGUAAGGCUAGACAUCACUGUUGUUUAAAGUAAUCACUCAUACAAAUAAAU
Long non-coding RNA from Passer domesticus (house sparrow), 2325 nucleotides. RefSeq lists it as uncharacterized. NCBI's taxonomy places the organism in Eukaryota, Metazoa, Chordata, Aves, Passeriformes, Passeridae. The transcript has 4 exons. The record is from RefSeq and is a predicted model, not a curated record.